CACGUAGGGCGCAAGCGUUGUCCGGAAUUAUUGGGCGUAAAGAGCUCGUAGGCGGUCUGUUACGUCUGCUGUGAAAACCCGGGGCUUAACCCUGGGCUUGCAGUGGAUACGGGCAGACUAGAGGCAGGUAGGGGAGAAUGGAAUUCCCGGUGUAGCGGUGAAAUGCGCAGAUAUCAGGAAGAACACCCGUGGCGAAGGCGGUUCUCUGGGACGGUACUGACGCUGAGACGCGAAAGCGUGGGGAGCGAACAGG
Molecule: ribosomal RNA, 253 nt
Filed under: uncultured bacterium
Lineage: Bacteria
Description: partial 16S ribosomal RNA
Rfam family: Bacterial small subunit ribosomal RNA
Source: RNAcentral